RNAcentral lists this ribosomal RNA (429 nucleotides) under uncultured bacterium. RNAcentral describes it as "bacterial SSU rRNA". It matches the Rfam family "Bacterial small subunit ribosomal RNA", at positions 355 to 776 of the family's 1533-position model. The record is from RNAcentral.
UGGGGAAUAUUGCGCAAUGGGCGAAAGCCUGACGCAGCCAUGCCGCGUGUGUGAAGAAGGCCCUAGGGUUGUAAAGCACUUUCAAUUGGGAGGAAAAGCUAACGGUUAAUACCCGUUAGCCCUGACGUUACCUUUAGAAGAAGCACCGGCUAACUCCGUGCCAGCAGCCGCGGUAAUACGGAGGGUGCAAGCGUUAAUCGGAAUUACUGGGCGUAAAGCGCGCGUAGGCGGCUUUUUAAGUCGGAUGUGAAAGCCCCGGGCUCAACCUGGGAACUGCACCCGAUACUGGAAGGCUAGAGUGCGAGAGAGGGAGGUAGAAUUCCAUGUGUAGCGGUGAAAUGCGUAGAUAUAUGGAGGAAUACCAGUGGCGAAGGCGGCCUCCUGGCUCGACACUGACGCUGAGGUGCGAAAGCGUGGGGAGCAAACAGG